RNAcentral lists this ribosomal RNA (480 nucleotides) under Triticum aestivum (bread wheat). Its description in RNAcentral is "partial small subunit ribosomal RNA". Lineage: Eukaryota; Viridiplantae; Streptophyta; Magnoliopsida; Poales; Poaceae. The record is from RNAcentral.
AUGGUGGAGCUACUUGGCUACAGUGAUAGCGACUUGGCAGGAGAUAUUGACGACCGUAAAAGUACCUCGGGCGUGGCAUAUUUCUUGGGAAGAAGCAUAGUGAGUUGGCUAUCACAAAAGCAGAAGGUGGUCGCAUUAUCAUCCUGUGAAGCGGAGUAUAUUGCAGCUGCAACCGCGGCAGGUCAAGGUGUGUGGCUAGAAAGGCUACUCGGUGACCUCACUGACAAGGAACCGGAAGGAGUGGUGCUUUAUGUUGACAACAAGUCCACGAUUGCUCUAUGUAAGAAUCCAGUGCAUCAUGAUAGAAGUAAGCACAUUGAUAUACGGUAUCACUACAUACGAGAUUGCGUGGAAGAAGGCAAGAUUGAAGUCAACUAUAUUUGCACCGAUGAUCAGCUUGCAGAUAUCCUGACCAAGUCUUUGGGACGACAGAAGUUCACGGAGAUGCGGGGAAGGAUCGGCGUCCAAGCUGUGAAGUGA